AAUACCCUUUCAAGCACCCUGUAACCCGAUAACACGAUAAGCUGUCCACUGUACUAACCGCUGUCGCUGAAAGGGUUAAAAUGUUUGU
Molecule: long non-coding RNA, 88 nt
Organism: Hippocampus comes (tiger tail seahorse)
Lineage: Eukaryota; Metazoa; Chordata; Actinopteri; Syngnathiformes; Syngnathidae
Exons: 3
Source: RefSeq, a predicted model, not a curated record